CCUACGGGGGGCUGCAGUCAAGAACCUUCCACAAUGGACGAAAGUCUGAUGGAGCGACGCCGCGUGAUGGAUGAAGUCCCUAGGGACGUAAACAUCUUUUAUGAGGGAGAAAGUAAUUGAUAGUACCUCAUGAAUAAGGGGUUGCUAAACUCGUGCCAGCAGCAGCGGUAAUACGAGUGCCCCAAGCGUUAUCCGGAAUCAUUGGGCGUAAAGGGUGUGUAGGCGGUUUGGUUAGUCUUCUGUCAAAGCCUCGGGCUUAACCCGAGAUCUGCAGAGGAAACGGCCAGGCUAGAGGAUGCGAGAGGUGAAUGGAACUCAUGGAGUAGGGGUGAAAUCCGUUGAUAUCAUGGGGAACACCAAAAGCGAAGGCAAUUCACUGGCGCAUUCCUGACGCUGAAACACGAAAGCGUGGGUAGCGAACGGGAUUAGAUACCCUGGUA
RNAcentral lists this ribosomal RNA (440 nucleotides) under uncultured bacterium. Its description in RNAcentral is "bacterial SSU rRNA". It matches the Rfam family "Bacterial small subunit ribosomal RNA", at positions 338 to 792 of the family's 1533-position model. The record is from RNAcentral.